ACCUACUUCUUCUCUUAUCUUUCCUCUCUCCCGAAACCGAGUUUUAUAUAUCCUUAAUCUGAAGGCGGGGCAAGGCCGCUAGGGUUUCAUUCUCCAAUCUUCUUCUCACAUCCUUCUUCUAGGGUUUCAAUUGUGUUCUAUUGUGGAGGAUCGAUUAACUUGCAGGACGAAAUUGCAAGAAAACCAAAAGGACUGCACCAGCAACCAAUAUCUACUUAAACUUCUUGUGAAGGUAUUAGAUUUUGGGAAUUAAAACACAACGAUAAUAACUACCAUUUGGAGAGAGCAAUGGAGACACAGUUUUAAAGCAACAAUCUCUGGGUAGUUCACUUAAUAGAAGGCUCUAUGAUAUUCAUUAAGUUCACGUCAUCUGACCAAGAUGAGAAGCAGAAACUUGUUGGUUCAUAUCAUAUCGACUUCCGCUGAUAACAAUCUGUAAGUAACAUUUGGUGGUGACUGAGAUGGGUGUCGUGUUAUUUAUCUUGCUUGGUAUAUUUUUCUUGCUAGUGGCUUAAUUGAUAUUGGGACCUUGUGCUAGCUGGAUAUCGCGUAGUUUAGGACUAGAUUUAUUAUCUUACUUGUACAUUGAUCGAGUUAUGUAUUGUUAAGUUUCCUUAACACCAUAACCUGUAAGUUGGCACUAAAGUAAGCAUAUUGUGGUGAUGCAAUGUGUCUUCUAAUUUGCUCCUGCGAAUUUAGAGCCACUAAAACUAUUUGUUACCGUUCAUUAGGUGCCACUUUCAAUCUUGAAGUAUAGAUGAUGGAGUUUGCGUACUUGUACCAACUGAUUGUUUAAAUCCUUGUUGUUACAUUUCAUUGAUCAGGACCGCAAGAACUUAUCGAUCCAUGCUUAGUUUUGUAAGCCUCAGUCUAGGUAGACUGUCAUCCUUGUUUUUUGUGUAAAUUAGCAUGGUUCGCAUAAACUUUGGAGGUCACAGGUUGGUAAAAGAGUUUAGGUUUCAAUAUUUGAUCUUGUUCCUGUAAAGCCGGUGAUCAGGUGAGGUACGAUUAAUUAGUUCACUUGCUCUUGUUCCUAAUUUGAACUUGGGUUUUGUGCUGAUUUGCAUUCUUAAGUUGAAUUUUUAGAACCAAUUUUCCAGGUCCUUGUAGAUGGAGUUUUGAUGUCUGACCAAAGCUCUUGCCAUUGAUGGAUUCUGGUCGGAAUAAAGUGCGGAAAAUAGUAUGACAGUGUUGGCCGAGUUCAACAUCUUCAAUACUUGUAAUUCAUUCCUUUCUCUUUUUAGUUUUUCUUAAAGAUUUCUUCCAGUUAUUAAUAUUUUCUGAGUUCUAUAAGUUAGUAGUAGUAAAUGACAUAAAUAUGCAUUUUCUUUAGUUCCCUGAUUCUUUAUUUUUGUUCGUUGUUUGAACAGUAACAAGGUGAGUGAAUUUUUUCCAAUAGAUCUUAUUCUUUGCAGAGGUUUUCGAGUUUUCUCUCCACCAACAUCAAACCAUAAAUGAUUGAGCAGAAGAUAUGAAUUGAUUAUGUGCAAGAUGCUUUGUUUAAAUAAUGUUGUGUAAAGCUUACUGUUUAACGUUUUUCUUGCUGUUUUUGUUUUUGGAUGUUAGAACA
Molecule: long non-coding RNA, 1570 nt
Organism: Papaver somniferum (opium poppy)
Lineage: Eukaryota; Viridiplantae; Streptophyta; Magnoliopsida; Ranunculales; Papaveraceae
Exons: 3
Source: RefSeq, a predicted model, not a curated record